Molecule: ribosomal RNA, 750 nt
Filed under: Urocleidoides carapus
Lineage: Eukaryota; Metazoa; Platyhelminthes; Monogenea; Dactylogyridea; Dactylogyridae
Description: partial large subunit ribosomal RNA
Rfam family: Eukaryotic large subunit ribosomal RNA
Source: RNAcentral
GGCGAGUGAACGGAGAUUAGCCCAGCACCGAAGCCUAUCCGCAUUUGUGGACAGGGCAAUGUGGUGUUCAGACUGGUACCUUUGUGCAACUCGUCUACUCGAAGUCCAACUCCGAUUAUGGCAUUGGAUAUGUCCCGCAGAGGGUGAGAGGCCCGUACGAGUAGACACUACUGCAUCUUGAGUUGUGCUUAGAUGUGCCAGUCUUGGAGUCGGAUUGCUUGAGAAUGCAGUCCAAAGCGGGUGGUAAACUCCAUCCAAGGCUAAAUACUGGCACGAGUCCGAUAGUAAACAAGUACCGUGAGGGAAAGUUGAAAAGUACUCUGAAGAGAGAGUAAAUAGUACGUGAAGCCGCCUGUAGGGAAGCUGGUGGAGUCAAGCUUCAUGCCUGCAUGAUUAAUAGUGAGAGAGUGUGUUGUUAAAGCAUCGUCGGCUGGUGGAUCUGGAAAUUGUUUCGACAGGCCUUAAACCUGUUGCAAGCUUUCUGGUAAGUGCGCUUGUGCCAGUCUCGCGGUGUUCUCUCUUGCAUUCUAUCAGCAGGCAGCCAUCACGGUUGAUAUGCUCUUGGUGCGUGGUUGUCAAACUGUGCCCGUGUGGCCUUUACCGGCUGCUGGACGCAGGACGGCAGGUGGUGUCGUGGCUAGGCUUGCCCUGGUCACUGGCGCGUAUUGGCCGACGACCAUGCUUGUUUUACUAUUGACGCAUAUCAUGUAUGUUUCAGGCUGUCGCCAUGCGAAUCGGUUGCAGUCGAUG